This 497-nucleotide ribosomal RNA is filed under the name uncultured bacterium. RNAcentral describes it as "partial 16S ribosomal RNA". It matches the Rfam family "Bacterial small subunit ribosomal RNA", at positions 28 to 507 of the family's 1533-position model. The record is from RNAcentral.
GAUGAACGCUGGCGGCGUGCCUAAUACAUGCAAGUCGAGCGAACGGACGAGAAGCUUGCUUCUCUGAUGUUAGCGGCGGACGGGUGAGUAACACGUGGAUAACCUACCUAUAAGACUGGGAUAACUUCGGGAAACCGGAGCUAAUACCGGAUGAUAUUUUGAACCGCAUGGUUCAAAAGUGAAAGACGGUCUUGCUGUCACUUAUAGAUGGAUCCGCGCUGCAUUAGCUAGUUGGUAAGGUAACGGCUUACCAAGGCAACGAUGCAUAGCCGACCUGAGAGGGUGAUCGGCCACACUGGAACUGAGACACGGUCCAGACUCCUACGGGAGGCAGCAGUAGGGAAUCUUCCGCAAUGGGCGAAAGCCUGACGGAGCAACGCCGCGUGAGUGAUGAAGGUCUUCGGACCGUAAAACUCUGUUAUUAGGGAAGAACAUAUGUGUAAGUAACUGUGCACAUCUUGGCGGUACCUAAUCAGAAAGCCACGGCUAACUACGUG